GAAAUGCGAUAAGUAAUGUGAAUUGCAGAAUUCAGUGAAUCAUCGAAUCUUUGAACGCACCUUGCGCUCCUUGGUAUUCCUUGGAGCAUGCCUGUUUGAGUAUCAUGAAAUCUUCAAAGUAAAUCUUUUGUUAACUCAAUUGUUUCUACUUUGGUAUUGGAGGUCUUUGCAGCUUCACACCUGCUCCUCUUUGUUCAUUAGCUGGAUCUCAGUGUUAUGCUUGGUUCCACUCGGCGUGAUAAGUUAUCUAUCGCUGAGGACACUGUAAAAGGUGGCCAAGGUAAAUGCAGAUGAACCGCUUCUAAUAGUCCAUUGACUUGGACAAUACUUUUAUGAUCUGAUCUCAAAUCAGGUAGGACUACCCGAUGAACUUAAGC
Molecule: unclassified non-coding RNA, 377 nt
Filed under: plant metagenome
Description: partial contains 5.8S ribosomal RNA, internal transcribed spacer 2, and large subunit ribosomal RNA
Rfam family: 5.8S ribosomal RNA (bases 1-105)
Source: RNAcentral